This 827-nucleotide ribosomal RNA is filed under the name uncultured Bacillota bacterium. RNAcentral describes it as "bacterial SSU rRNA". The stretch from base 245 to 827 matches the Rfam family "Bacterial small subunit ribosomal RNA", at positions 1 to 892 of the family's 1533-position model. Lineage: Bacteria; Bacillati; Bacillota. The record is from RNAcentral.
AAACCCCCCGAGUUUGAUAGAUCGGUAAUGUAGGUUUGUUGCUUUCCAUCAUGGAGAAUCUAAGUAUUUCAGUCUCAAUAAUAUCACAAAAUUGGAUCAUUGGUUAUUGAUUCUUGCAGAACGACUUAGGCACGAUGGAAGGUAGAAUGUGUUUUCUGUUUUGAAUCACGAGAAACAUGAAACAAGUCCGGAUCGGGAAUGGGUGAAGUGUGUAUGGUGGGGAGAGUAAAAAAAAAGAGAAAGUGAUACUUAAAUUCGAAUUUGAGGGAACCCUACGGGGAAGCCACCAGGGGGGAUUUUUCCCAAAUGGGGCAAAUCUUGAUUAAGCAACCCCGGGGAAUUAAAAAAGGUCUUCGGAUUGUAAAGCUCUGUCCUUGGGGAAGAACGUUAGGGUUAGGAAAUGAUCCCCACCUGACGGUACCUUUGGAGGAAGCACUGGCUAACUACGUGCCAGCAGCCGCGGUAAUACGUAGAGUGCAAGCGUUGUCCGGAAUCAUUGGGCGUAAAGGGUACGCAGGCGGAUGUUCAAGUCAAGCGUGAAAGGUGUCGGCUUAACCGACAGACUGCGUUUGAAACUGGUUAUCUUGAGUGCAGCAGAGGAGAGCGGAAUUCCUGGUGUAGUGGUGAAAUACGUAGAUAUUAGGAAGAACACCAGUGGCGAAGGCGACUCUCUGGGUUAACUCUGACGCUCAGGUACGAAAGCUGGGGGAGCGAACGGGAUUAGAUACCCCGGUAGUCCCAGCCGUAACGAUGGACACUAGGUGUUGGAGGUUCGAAUCCUUCAGUGCCGAGUUAACGCAUAAGUUCCCGCCUGGAUNGGCGUCAAA